AGAGUUUGAUCCUGGCUCAGGACGAACGCUGGCGGCGCGCUUAACACAUGCAAGUCGAGCGACGAAAGGUCCUUCGGGGCCCUGAAAGCGGCGAACGGGUGAGUAACACGUGGGUAACCCACCCUCGGUACCGGGAUAGCCCGGGGAAACCCGGAUUAAUACCGGAUGGCCUCUCCGGUCUACGGACUGGCGAGAAAAGGUAGCUUCGGCCUCCGACCGAGGACGGGCCCGCGGCCGAUUAGCUUGUUGGCGGGGUAACGGCCCACCAAGGCGACGAUCGGUAGCUGGUCUGAGAGGACGAUCAGCCACACUGGGACUGAGACACGGCCCAGACUCCUACGGGAGGCAGCAGUGGGGAAUCUUGCGCAAUGGGCGAAAGGCUGACGCAGCGACGCCGCGUGUGGGAUGACGGCCUUCGGGUUGUAAACCACUGUCGGGGGGGGCGAAUACCUGGCUUCGAACAGGAGACCAGGGGUGACGGUACCCCCAAAGGAAGCACCGGCUAACUCCGUGCCAGCAGCCGCGGUAAU
This 530-nucleotide ribosomal RNA is filed under the name uncultured soil bacterium. RNAcentral's name for it is "bacterial SSU rRNA". It matches the Rfam family "Bacterial small subunit ribosomal RNA", at positions 8 to 524 of the family's 1533-position model. The record is from RNAcentral.